AAGAGAAACAUAGUAGAUCUCCCACCUUCUUCGAUCUCGCUGAAAGAAGAGAGCAGAACAGGUUCCGUUUCCCCCUCUUUCUUCCGUUCCCUUCUGCGAGGAAGAACCAAGGCGCCGCUUUCUUUCCUUGAUAGCACAGCUGGUCAAUCGCUCCUUUGGAGCAUAAACCUCAGCCCCUUUCCUCGUCUUCGCCCUCCUCUAUUUUCACAAUGCAAGAAGAACGCCGACCGC
This 231-nucleotide long non-coding RNA is filed under the name Musa acuminata (dwarf banana). Its description in RNAcentral is "long non-coding RNA (MACU_LNC011351)". The record is from RNAcentral. Lineage: Eukaryota; Viridiplantae; Streptophyta; Magnoliopsida; Zingiberales; Musaceae.